RNAcentral lists this ribosomal RNA (1473 nucleotides) under uncultured Bordetella sp. RNAcentral's name for it is "partial 16S-23S ribosomal RNA intergenic spacer". It matches the Rfam family "Bacterial small subunit ribosomal RNA". The record is from RNAcentral. Lineage: Bacteria; Pseudomonadati; Pseudomonadota; Betaproteobacteria; Burkholderiales; Alcaligenaceae.
AGUUCGAUCAUGGCUCAGAUUGAACGCUGGCGGGAUGCUUUACACGGCAUGCAAGUCCGAACAUAUGCGGACUUCAGGUCUGGUGGCGAGUGGCGAACGGGUGAGUAAUGUAUCCGGAACGUGCCUAAUGCUUGAGGGAUAACUACGCAGCGUGGCUAAUACAUACGCCCUUCAGGGGAAAGCGGGGGACCUUCGGGCCUCAUAUUAGAGCGGCCGAUAUCGGAUUAGCUAGUUGGUGGGAGUAACGGCUCACCAAGGCGACGAUCCGUAGCUGGUUUGAGAGGACGACCAGCCACACUGGGACUGAGACACGGCCCAGACUCCUACGGGAGGCAGCAGUGAGGAAUUUGGACAGGAAAACCCUGAUCCAGCCAUCCCGCGUGUGCGAUGAAGGUAUUCCGGGUUGUAAGCACUGGCUGCAGGGAAAGAAACGGCACAGGAUAAUACCCCGUGCAACUGACGAACACCUGCAGAAUAAGCACCGGCCUAACUACGUGCCAGCAGCCGCGGUAAUACGUAGGGUGCAAGCGUUAAUCGGAAUUACUGGGCGUAAGGCGCAACAGUUCGGAAAAAGUGUGAAAUCCCAGAGCUUAACUUUGGAACUGCAUUUUUAACUACCGAGCUAGAGUGUGUCAGAGGGAGGUGGAAUUCCGCGAUGUAGCGAGUGAAGUAUGAAUAUGGGAAGAACACCAGUGAUGGCGAAGGCAUCCUGGGUCAACACACAAGCCAUGGCACAGCGUGGGAGCAAACGGGAUUAGAUACCCUGGUAGUCCACGCCCUAAAACGAUGUCAACUGGCUAUUUAGGGCCUUCGGGCCUUGGUGGCGCAACUAACGCGUGAAGUUGACCGCCUGGGAAGUACGGUCGCAAGAUUAAAACUCAAAGGAAUUGACGGGGACCCGCACAAGCGGUGGAUGAUGUGGAUUAAUUCAGUACAACGCGAAAAACGCUUACCUACCCUUGACAUGUCUGGAAUCCCGAAGAAGAGAUUUGGGAGUGCUCGCAAGAGAACGGAACACAGGUGCUGCAUGGCUGUCGUCAGCUCGUGUCUGAGAUGUUGGGUUAAGUCCCGCAACGAGCGCAGCCUGUCGUCAGUUGCUACGAAAGGGCACUCUAAUGCCUGAGACUGCGGUGGCAAACCGGAGAAGGUAGGGAUGACGUCAAGUCCUCAUGGCCCUUAUGGGUAGGGCUUCACACGUCAUACAAUGGUGGGACAGAGGGUCGCCAACCCGCGAGGGAGCCAAUCCCAGAAACCCGAUCGUAGUCCGGAUCGCAGUCUGCAACUCGACUGCGUGAAGUCGGAAUCUAUAGUAAUCGCCGGAUCAGCAUGUCGCGGUGAAUACGUUCCGGGUCUUGUACACACCGCCCGUCACACCAUGGGAGUGGGUUUACAGAAGUAGUUAGCCUAACCGUAAAGGAGGGCGAUUACCACAGUAGAGGAUUCAUGACUGGGGUGAAGUCGUAAGCAAGGUAA